CCCUUAGAUGUUCUGGGCCGCACGCGCGCUACACUGAUGCAUUCAACGAGUUUCUUCCUGGUCCGAGAGGAAUGGGUAACCUUUUGAAAGUGCAUCGUGAUAGGGAUAGACUAUUGCAAUUAUUGGUCUUCCACGAGGAAUUCCUAGUAGACGUAGUUCAUCAGACUGCAUCGAUUACGUCCCUGCCCUUUGUACACACCGCCCGUCGCUCCUACCGAUUGAAUGCUCAGGUGAGCCAUUCGGACUUUCAUCAUGCUGGUUUCCAGUUUUGAUGAAGGAAAGUCUUGCGAACCUUAUCAUUUAGAGGAAGGAGAAGUCGUAACA
Molecule: ribosomal RNA, 324 nt
Filed under: uncultured eukaryote
Lineage: Eukaryota
Description: partial 18S ribosomal RNA
Rfam family: Eukaryotic small subunit ribosomal RNA
Source: RNAcentral